AGUUAAACAGUAAUAAGGGAGAAAUAUUUACAGUGAAAACAAUGGCUCCUACACUCACCCCCAUAGCACCUACUAUGGAUUCAAGUUUCAUUGUCAUCCUGGGUGUAUUUGACAGCAGUUCCAUUACUUGUACAAGUACCAUCAAAAUGUGUUAUUCUUGAUCCAAUUCUGUCAUUUGAAGGUCACAUUAAUGGAGGGAUGAGAAGUGCUCAGCUCUGUACAGAACUGCUAGAUUCUGCUUGAUUUGCAAAAUGGGAAAAUGUCUUUUUGCCCCCUAGGUUUGUGUUAGUAGAUGAUCAUGUUUCAGAGGUGAAAUAUGAAACAAAAAUUGAGGCAUUUGAGAAUAAAAAGCUCAAUUUUAUUGUGCUUUACUCACAAGGAAUGACAUGUGCAAAUUAGAAAGCCCUAUAGAAUGGAACCUAUUGAUUAUACUACUAAAAUAUUUGUAUGCCAUCAUAUUUAGAAAACCUUUCAACAUCCUCCCCAUAGAGGUGGUAUGGGCUUGCCCGACUUAAUUACUUUAGUGAUUGGUGUGGAUGUAUGUAUGCAUGGGCAGCAAAAAAAAAAAAAAAAAAAAAAGGAAUUACCCAGAUGUCAAAUAGUGAAAAUAAUGAAAUAUGACACGUGUUCUGAAAGAUCAGCUUGCUUCGGUUUCCUCUUUCCUCUUCUACAUUGAACAGAAUUCUAGUAUAACAGGAAAAAAGUUAACUUGUUAACAUACAGUCCAGUUCUUUCUUCUUUCAAGAAAAUGAAAUCUAUUGUCUGUGAAUGAAAUCUCUGUCUAAAUGAUGUCACUAGGGCCACACAUACUUUCUUAUUUCUUUAGAGUUCUUGUCAGUUCCUGAUACAGUGAAUGCUCAAAUAGUGCUGAUUUUCUGAUUAUACGUCUGUCUACCAUCUCAGUUGAACUAAGUAGAAAUAUGUAAAAUAACGGAGAGUCCGCUUCAGUCAUUCUUUUAUCACUAAGUGAAGACCAUUUUAGAGUUUCUCCUUCCUCACAGACCAAAGUAGAACUUAUAAACCCAUGGAUUUGAAAAGCUUAAGGUUAUUUGAGAGUGUCCAGUCCAUUGGUUCUCAACCCUAUUAGACUCAAAGCUCCCUUUCAUACCAAAUAGGUUAUCACACAAACUCUAUGAAAUGAAAUUCAUAGAAAAUAUAACCUGCCCAUAAUCAUCAUCUCAAGAAAUUAAUAUCACGCAGGAAUAUAGAGAUAAAAGUAAUUUGUGAUAGAAGAAUAUAUACACCUGCGUGCAAAUAAACACUCAUGUGCCACUAAAGCAGAGGACACUGUGAACAUAUUUCAUCUGGCACUUACAUACAGGGCACUGUGAAGGCACAGCUAUAAAUGCAAUCUUACAAAUGUAUUAACAACACAAAUUACCAUGGGUGAUAUGAAUUUCUAUGGUCAUGAAUAACUUUUAAUAAAGUUGUGAACAAAAGAGAGCACACUAUUUCAUUGUAUGGUAUUUGCACCGCUGGAAAUUUUUUAUGACUAUUAAAACUUAGCCAGAAAUAUUUUGUGUUCAUAAUUCAGUGGGGUUAGGUUUUGGGGUUGGAUAAUUACCGACAGGAUUUGCCUUUUGAAACUUCCCCUCGAAGCUCUAUACAAUGGGAGGCUUCCCUUCUCUCCCUCCCCAUGUCCUGUGCACUGCCAGGUGUUUACUAUUCCUGGCUUUCACCCAAUGGAUAGUUAUAGGCCACGCAAACGUCUUUAUACCCCAAAAUUGCAUAUCCACAAGUGUUCAGAAGCCCAUAGGGGCAUUACUGCUUCUGUUGAGAAUCUCUGUCUAAUCCAGCACCUUUAUUUUCUAGACGAAGAGACUAGAGAUUUUUAGGUAACUUUCCUGAAGUUACACAACUAGUACAGAAUCUAGCUGAACUAAGUGAUAAACUUAGGUUUUGGAUUAUACUGAAUCUGAUCUUAUGCCAACACAGAAGCUCUGAUACAGGUGGUGUUGAGUGGAACAGUGCUCCUGGGAACAAUGGCUGUAAUCUCGCCAAGGAUACUGCAUGCAUAUGUUAAAGUAGCCCAGACAGACAUCCCAGAGGAUCAGUUUAUUUCCUGAAUGCAAAUAAACCAAAUCUGCACCCUCUAUUCCCACUAAUCCCAUCCAUCGUCCUGUUGUCUACUCAGACAAUCUUCCCUCCCACUCUUGGAAAUAAACAUCUUCCAAGCCUUUCCAAGAGCUUCAGAUAAAUACCCCCUUCUAUCUGACGAACAUAUCAUUUCCUCUCUGAGCAGCUUCCAAGCCUCUUCUUCAUCACUUUUUCCAGAAAUAUUUCCCAUUGUUCACAGUGCUUACAGAAUUGCAUGUCACCUCCCCCAUAAUUGCACUUCUCUACAUGUACUAGUUUUGCCUGUAUGUCAAUGAAGAGUUUAUUUUCACUGGUUUUAUCUGUCCUCCUAAUUGAUCAAUCCUGAAGGGACAACUAAUUCCAAGCAUCUAAUGCUAUGUUAGCACCCUGUGGCCACUCCACAAAUAGUUGACUGAUUUAUACCAAAUUGAGGACUGGGAAAGCCACGAUUCUAAUGGUAACUUAAUACAGGCCACAAAAAUAAUGAGCUUAUGUAGAAUGUAAACAUCUCCGGUUCCUUCAAAUAUUAGUGAUAAAUUACAAACUCUUCUUUGGAAUGCAUUUCAUGACAUUUGAUUAUUGAAGUUCCUGAACCAGUGACCAUUUUGUCCUAGUUGCUAUGGGCCAUCUCCAGGGAGAAUUCUGUAGCACUCUUCACAGUGGAAACUGAUAAGUAGAAGGGUCAUCCAAUUAGUUGCCAUUGCUCCAGGCAAAACUCUACUUAAACUGUCAUCAAUUCUUAACACUCUUCAGAGAAAGAGAUCCUACUACACCCCACAGUAACCAGACCCUUAUGUCAAGAAUUCAUCCUCUCUCUCUCUCAAAAACAAAACAAAACAGAAAAGCACUCUCAUUUCAAAUUAUUUAUUUUUCAUUUAACAUUAUUGGAAAAAAACAACCUUAAGCUAAGAUGAGUAGUAUGAAACAAUUAAUAAAUUUGAAAGUGUUAAGCUACUUGUUUACUUUCAUUGUGUUAAAGAGCAGUGACUUUUUUUUCCCUUUCUAAUAUCACUCCCACCGCUACAACUUAAACCAACUGUGCACUGAGUUAUUGUUGUUUUUUUUAUGUGUACAACUGCUUUCUUCUCUGCCUCUUGCCAUUUAUUAACAAAUAUUUAGUGAGCACCCCCUGUGAAAUAAAUUUAGUCCUCAUCCCUGAGAAAUUAAAGAUACUAAAAGUUCACUCCUACCCUUAAAGACCAUACCACAUAGGUCUAAGAAUUUAUUAUCAAAUUAAACCAGAAGUACACAAUAAUAUUUAAUAUACACAUUAAGUAGCACAGAAUUCUAUCAGCAUGUAGCAAUCUACAUCAAUCUACCCUGUCAUUUAUUCCAUUCAUCCAUCCAACCAAUAUCUAUUUCCAUAUUUUGCACCAGGCAUAGACACUGGGGUGGGGUUCCAAUAGUGAAUAAAAUAUUUAAAAGCUCCCUGUUCAUAAAAUUUACAUUGUAAUGAGUUAGAAAGAUGCUGAUCAAAAAUAUCAAAUACAUUUAUAACUGCUUAUUGAAAAAUACCAUAGAAUAGUUAAUGCUAUGACUUAGUUUGGAGAGCAAGGUAUAAGAGUGGAAAGAUAAUUUUCAAACGACAGUAUUAAACUUUAACUUAGUAGGACCUAAUUAGGGGAAGGUCGGGGAAGGAAAAUAAUCCAGAUGAAGAAACAACACUUGCCAAGCCCAGGAAACAAAAAAGAAGAAACAGUUGGAGGACCAAGGGUCAGGUUUCCAGCAUAUGGAAAACAAGAGGGAAAAGGUUCUUUCUCAAGUUGAAAUGGGAGUCAGGAGCCAGAUUGUUGAGUGCCCCAUGGGCCAUGAUAAAAAUAUAGUUUUCUCUACUAAGGAAAAUUGGUAACUAGUGAAGACGAACUAUGUAUCUUGAAUGUAUGUGUUCAUUGGCAUUGUGGAGAAUUCUCUGAAAAAAGCCAGAGGAGAUGUGUGGAAACCCAUAAAAGGAUUACACAGCAUAUUAGAGAUAUAAUUAGAAUUUGGGAUUAAUAGUGACAGUGGAAAGAGGCAGGAUGGGUCUGAAAAGCAUUUAGGAGAUAAAAUUAACAGUUAUUUUUGAUGUAUUGGAUUUGGGUAUGUGUGUGGGCUCUUCCUUUUCUAGCAUCUGUGUAGUAGGAUGAAGAUUGAGACUCCACUGUUGCCUUUAGUAAGAGGAGAAUUUCUGGAUCCCUUUAUAACAGUUAUUACAGUACAGUGAUGGAGGCAGAAGCCAGACUGAAUGAUAGUGAAAGGUGAGAAAACAGAACUAAUGAGUAUAUGUAAACAACUUUCUAGGCAAGCCUUGCCAUGAAUGGGAAGAAGAAAGAUAGGAUAAUAGGUUAGAGGAGAGGGAGGUUGGAGAAAUAAGUAUUUUAUGUGUUGAUGGGCAGAUCACUAUAUAAAAAAAUGUUUAGAUGCAGGGGACAGAGCAUAUACCAAGUAGUAAAAGGUUCCUGAGAAGGUUAGGUAGAAUGAAAUCAGGGUAUGGUGGACUUCAACCUGGAAGAUGUAUACCUUCUCUGUUGUUAUUGAAAGAAAUGAGGGGGAAAUGGUUACAAGGAUAUUUUUGAUACUGAGAACUUGGAUUAAUUCCCAGCUGAUAUAUCCUAUUUUCUCUGAGAAUUUGGUGGCCUGACAUCUGUUAAGGGUGAUAAGAAAAUAAUGUAAUAAAAUCAGAGUUUUGGAAACAGAAAGAUCUGAAAUGGGAUACUUGACUGUGUGAUUUUAUUGAUGGAACAAUGUCAGUUAAAACAAGAUUCUGGCAGAGUUCCCACUGUGGCUCAGCAGAAAUGAAUCCAACUAGGAACCAUGAGGUUGCGUGUUUGAUCUCUGGCCUCACUCAGUGGGUUAAGAAUCUCGCGUUGCCAUGAGCUGUGGUGUAGGUCACAGACAUGGCUCAGAUCCUGUAUUGCUCUGGCUGUGGCAGAGGCUGCCAGCUGCAGCUCUGAUUCAGCCCCUAGCCUGGGUACCUCCAUAUGCC
This 5038-nucleotide long non-coding RNA is filed under the name Sus scrofa (pig). Its description in RNAcentral is "lncRNA (ENSSSCG00000056372.1)". Lineage: Eukaryota; Metazoa; Chordata; Mammalia; Artiodactyla; Suidae. The record is from RNAcentral.